UCGCUUUCCUAAGUACUAGUGCCGCAGGAGUUAGGUUCCUAUCCGCAAUACCUCCUGCUGCCCAAGUGCUUAUUAAAGCGA
This is a non-coding RNA of Drosophila ficusphila, 81 nucleotides long. The record is from Rfam. Lineage: Eukaryota; Metazoa; Arthropoda; Insecta; Diptera; Drosophilidae.